AGAGUUUGAUCAUGGCUCAGAUUGAACGCUGGCGGCAGGCCUAACACAUGCAAGUCGAACGGUAACAGGAAGCAGCUUGCUGCUUCGCUGACGAGUGGCGGACGGGUGAGUAAUGUCUGGGAAGCUGCCUGAUGGAGGGGGAUAACUACUGGAAACGGUAGCUAAUACCGCAUAAUGUCGCAAGACCAAAGAGGGGGACCUUCGGGCCUCUUGCCAUCGGAUGUGCCCAGAUGGGAUUAGCUUGUUGGUGGGGUAACGGCUCACCAAGGCGACGAUCCCUAGCUGGUCUGAGAGGAUGACCAGCCACACUGGAACUGAGACACGGUCCAGACUCCUACGGGAGGCAGCAGUGGGGAAUAUUGCACAAUGGGCGCAAGCCUGAUGCAGCCAUGCCGCGUGUAUGAAGAAGGCCUUCGGGUUGUAAAGUACUUUCAGCGGGGAGGAAGGGAGUAAAGUUAAUACCUUUGCUCAUUGACGUUACCCGCAGAAGAAGCACCGGCUAACUCCGUGCCAGCAGCCGCGGUAAUACGGAGGGUGCAAGCGUUAAUCGGAAUUACUGGGCGUAAAGCGCACGCAGGCGGUUUGUUAAGUCAGAUGUGAAAUCCCCGGGCUCAACCUGGGAACUGCAUCUGAUACUGGCAAGCUUGAGUCUCGUAGAGGGGGGUAGAAUUCCAGGUGUAGCGGUGAAAUGCGUAGAGAUCUGGAGGAAUACCGGUGGCGAAGGCGGCCCCCUGGACGAAGACUGACGCUCAGGUGCGAAAGCGUGGGGAGCAAACAGGAUUAGAUACCCUGGUAGUCCACGCCGUAAACGAUGUCGACUUGGAGGUUGUGCCCUUGAGGCGUGGCUUCCGGAGCUAACGCGUUAAGUCGACCGCCUGGGGAGUACGGCCGCAAGGUUAAAACUCAAAUGAAUUGACGGGGGCCCGCACAAGCGGUGGAGCAUGUGGUUUAAUUCGAUGCAACGCGAAGAACCUUACCUGGUCUUGACAUCCACGGAAGUUUUCAGAGAUGAGAAUGUGCCUUCGGGAACCGUGAGACAGGUGCUGCAUGGCUGUCGUCAGCUCGUGUUGUGAAAUGUUGGGUUAAGUCCCGCAACGAGCGCAACCCUUAUCCUUUGUUGCCAGCGGUCCGGCUGGGAACUCAAAGGAGACUGCCAGUGAUAAACUGGAGGAAGGUGGGGAUGACGUCAAGUCAUCAUGGCCCUUACGACCAGGGCUACACACGUGCUACAAUGGCGCAUACAAAGAGAAGCGACCUCGCGAGAGCAAGCGGACCUCAUAAAGUGCGUCGUAGUCCGGAUUGGAGUCUGCAACUCGACUCCAUGAAGUCGGAAUCGCUAGUAAUCGUGGAUCAGAAUGCCACGGUGAAUACGUUCCCGGGCCUUGUACACACCGCCCGUCACACCAUGGGAGUGGGUUGCAAAAGAAGUAGGUAGCUUAACCUUCGGGAGGGCGCUUACCACUUCGUGAUUCAUGACUGGGGUGAAGUCGUAACAAGGUA
Molecule: ribosomal RNA, 1500 nt
Filed under: metagenome
Description: bacterial SSU rRNA
Rfam family: Bacterial small subunit ribosomal RNA
Source: RNAcentral